AGCUCCAAUAGCGUAUAUUAAAGUUGUUGCAGUUAAAAAGCUCGUAGUUGGAUUUCGGGGCAGAGGAGAGUUGCCCGGGCCUUUGGGUCUGGCUUCGUCUCGCUGUUCUUACCUGUUGUGUAGCACCCUCGGGUGUUGCCCAGCUCGUUUACUGUGAAAAAAUUAGAGUGUUCAACGCAGGCAUUUGCCAUGAAUACAUUAGCAUGGAAUAAUAAAAUAGGACUUUGGUUUUAUUUUGUUGGUUUCUAGGGCCGAAGUAAUGAUUAAUAGGGACAGUUGGGGACAUUCGUAUUUCCGAGUCAGAGGUGAAAUUCUUAGAUUUCGGGAAGACGAACUUCUGCGAAAGCAUUUGUCAAGGAUGUUUUCAUUA
Molecule: ribosomal RNA, 370 nt
Filed under: Hymerhabdia sp.
Lineage: Eukaryota; Metazoa; Porifera; Demospongiae; Agelasida; Hymerhabdiidae
Description: partial small subunit ribosomal RNA
Rfam family: Eukaryotic small subunit ribosomal RNA
Source: RNAcentral